CAAUAGCGUAUAUUUAAGUUGUUGCAGUUAAAAAGCUCGUAGUUGGAUUUCGGAUGGGACUUGCCGGUCCGUCGUUUCGAUGUGCACUGGCCAGUCCUAUCUUGUUGUCGGGGACUAGCUCCUGGGCUUCACUGUCCGGGACUAGGAGCUGACGAGGUUACUUUGAGUAAAUUAGAGUGUUCAAAGCAAGCCUACGCUCUGAAUACAUUAGCAUGGAAUAACACGAUAGGACUCUGGCCUAUCGUGUUGGUCUAUAGGACCAGAGUAAUGAUUAAGAGGGACAGUCGGGGGCAUUCGUAUUCCGUUGUCAGAGGUGAAAUUCUUGGAUUUACGGAAGACGAACAUCUGCGAAAGCAUUUGCCAAGGAUGUUUUCAUUGA
RNAcentral lists this ribosomal RNA (379 nucleotides) under uncultured eukaryote. Its description in RNAcentral is "partial 18S ribosomal RNA". It matches the Rfam family "Eukaryotic small subunit ribosomal RNA", at positions 592 to 976 of the family's 1831-position model. The record is from RNAcentral.